This 253-nucleotide ribosomal RNA is filed under the name uncultured bacterium. Its description in RNAcentral is "partial 16S ribosomal RNA". It matches the Rfam family "Bacterial small subunit ribosomal RNA", at positions 524 to 776 of the family's 1533-position model. The record is from RNAcentral.
UACGUAGGGUGCAAGCGUUAAUCGGAAUUACUGGGCGUAAAGCGUGCGCAGGCGGCUAUGCAAGACAGAUGUGAAAUCCCCGGGCUCAACCUGGGAACUGCAUUUGUGACUGCAUAGCUAGAGUACGGUAGAGGGGGAUGGAAUUCCGCGUGUAGCAGUGAAAUGCGUAAAUAUGCGGAGGAACACCGAUGGCGAAGGCAAUCCCCUGGACCUGUACUGACGCUCAUGCACGAAAGCGUGGGGAGCAAACAGG